UCCUUGUAGCUGGUAGAGCUCAGUUGGUAGAGCAAGAUACUCUUAAUUUCAUGGUCGUGGGUUUGAGCCCCACGUUGGGGAA
This is a non-coding RNA of Podarcis lilfordi (Lilford's wall lizard), 82 nucleotides long. NCBI's taxonomy places the organism in Eukaryota, Metazoa, Chordata, Lepidosauria, Squamata, Lacertidae. The record is from the annotation of a GenBank genome assembly.